CAAUAGCGUAUAUUUAAGUUGUUGCAGUUAAAAAGCUCGUAGUUGGAUUUCGGUUAAGAGCGACCGGUCCGCCGCUUGGUGUGCACUGGUUGGUUUUAACUUCCUGUAGAGGACGUGCUCUGGGUUUAACGACCUGGACUCGGAGUCUACGUGGUUACUUUGAAAAAAUUAGAGUGUUCAAAGCGGGCUUACGCUUGAAUAUUUCAGCAUGGAAUAACACUAUAGGACUCCUGUCCUAUUUCGUUGGUCUCGGGACGGGAGUAAUGAUUAAGAGGAACAGUUGGGGGCAUUCGUAUUUCAUUGUCAGAGGUGAAAUUCUUGGAUUUAUGAAAGACGAACUUCUGCGAAAGCAUUUGCCAAGGAUGUUUNCAUUAA
Molecule: ribosomal RNA, 375 nt
Filed under: uncultured eukaryote
Lineage: Eukaryota
Description: partial 18S ribosomal RNA
Rfam family: Eukaryotic small subunit ribosomal RNA
Source: RNAcentral